UUAGGCGAAGCUUGUAGCGUUUAACUGUUAAUUAAAAGAAGCAUAUGAAUUAUGCCGCCUAAU
Molecule: transfer RNA, 63 nt
Filed under: Haloa japonica
Lineage: Eukaryota; Metazoa; Mollusca; Gastropoda; Cephalaspidea; Haminoeidae
Description: Haminoea japonica tRNA-Asn
Source: RNAcentral